Molecule: ribosomal RNA, 481 nt
Filed under: uncultured bacterium
Lineage: Bacteria
Description: partial 16S ribosomal RNA
Rfam family: Bacterial small subunit ribosomal RNA
Source: RNAcentral
GAUGAACGCUGGCGGCGUGCCUAACACAUGCAAGUCGAACGGAGAUUACGGACGGAAGUUUUCGGAUGGAAGCCUGUAAUUCUUAGUGGCGGACGGGUGAGUAACGCGUGGGCAACCUGCCCUAUACAGGGGGAUAGCAGCUGGAAACGGCUGGUAAGACCGCAUAAGUCGGUUAAAUCGCAUGAUUUGAUCGGGAAAUGAGCAAUCAGGUAUAGGAUGGGCCCGCGUCCGAUUAGCCAGUUGGCAGGGUAAAAGCCUACCAAAGCGACGAUCGGUAGCCGGACUGAGAGGUCGGACGGCCACAGUGGGACUGAGACACGGCCCAAACUCCUACGGGAGGCAGCAGUGGGGGAUAUUGCACAAUGGAGGAAACUCUGAUGCAGCGACGCCGCGUGAGUGAAGAAGUAUUUCGGUAUGUAAAGCUCUAUCAGCAGGGAAGAUGAUGACGGUACCUGACUAAGAAGCCCCGGCUAACUACGUG